AGACAGUGUCUAGCACUGUUGCCCAGGCUGGAAUGCAGUGGCACCAUCAUAGCUCACCACAGCCUCAGAACUCCUGGACUGAAGCAAUCCUCCGGCCACAGUCUCCUCAGAAGGAUGGAUAGCAACUGGAGGAACAUUCCAGGCAGAAGGAAAGAAGACAAACACAUGUUCCUGGGCUCCACACCGGCACAGUGAAACAGAACUCAUGAAGAUGAGGACUGGUCAUUUCAAGAUCUUCAGUGGGUUCCAUGCAUCUUAAAAUGCUUUGUUAGCCAACGAUCCAACACAAACUGUCAAUGGCAUCUCUGAGAGAUGUUCUUCCAGACUUUUGCUUGAAUACUUUCAGGGGUGAGAUGCCCACUACCUAUCGGCAUAUCCUUUUUCCUUUUGGUCCAGGUCAUAUCAAUGGAACUGUGUCUAGAUAACGAGCUGAAAUCUGUUUUUCAUGGACCUCUGAAGUGCUAUUACAGCAUGCAGCUUCACGCACUUGCAUCAUCUUCCAACACUAACCUCGCCCUGAUGUCCACGCCCAGCCCUGGAACUCCUCCGGCAUUCCCCUUCCACCGUGGCAUUCCCUGCUGGGAUAUCCCAGGGGAAUUUUGCAGCAGAUAUGGAGAUGGACAUGAAGCAAUUAUCAUGCAAAAGUGGGCAGCCAGAAUGCGGAUGAAAACCACAUGCCGAGGACAAAAGGGCAGGAUGAUAGAAGGAGCUGGGGACCCUGGUGACAUCAGACAGCCGCUGCUCCAGUCCCGGAACGCCGACCUCCAGAUGACUUGUUUUACGAGACCAGUACCUAUGUGGUCAAAUCACUCUCGUGAAGUUUUGUGCCACAGAGAUGAACCCAAUCAUUACCUGUUGGAGCCUAUCCUGCCAUACCUCAUGCUUUAAUUAAUAUAUAAAGAGACUUGUAUAAACUUGGCAUCAUACUCCUUUGAACAGAUUUAGAGUAUGGGGACCUGAAUUGUGUGGGCUUUGGUGAGAGAGGCAUGGUCCAGCUGCCAGGGUCCACUCUGGCCCUGCUGCUGGGUGGCCUUUGCUGCUGACUCUGUGAUUAUGCCUGAUUGAUUUGAUUAACUUGGACUGGCACCAGGGUUUCCAUCCAAGGAACACUGACCUUGGUACUUCCCUCCAAAGUUUUGCUGAGUUGAUCUCCAUUCUAGUUUCCUCAAGGGAUACUUACUGAUGAGCAAUGGCAUAACAGACUCUCAGCUAGCUCAUAGUUGUUAUUGUGGAUAUCAUACUUUUUACCUUCAGAUUUUGAGCAGCUACCUUAACAUGAGUGCAUGUUAAAAUUAGUUUAUUGGCCGGGGGCGGUGGCUCACGCCUGUAAUGCCAGCACUUUGGGAGGCCGAGGCGGGUGGAUCAUGAGGUCAAGAGAUCGAGACCAUCCUGGUCAACAUGGUGAAACCCCGUCUCUACUAAAAAUACAAAAAAUUAUCUGGGCAUGGUGGCGCGUGCCUGUAGUCCCAGCUACUCAGGAAGCUGAGGCAGGAGCAUUGCCUAAGCCCAGGAGGUGGAGUUACAGUGAGCCAAGAUCGCACCAUUGCACUCUAGCCUGGGUAACAAGAGCGAAACUCCAUCUCAAAAAAAAAAUUAGUUUAUUGGCCUCCUGGCGGGGCAGCUGACAAUGUUAAAACAGUUAUCUAAAUGAAAUCUGUCUGUUUUUCCUACAGAUUCUCCAUCAAAGAACAGGCAUGCAAAAGUGGUCUCAGCUCCUGAAGGCAGUCAGGACAGAGUAAUUGCUGUGAUAAAUGAGCAACUUCAUGUCACAAUGCUUAGCUAAAUGACAGGUUUAGUCUUUGCUCAUGUCACAGUCCAACUGGGUACCCAGGAGUGAUCUCUCAUAUGGCCAACCAAAGGGCUUCCCCUUCAUGGUUCCAUGAUUUCAGGAGCACCUGGGAGCCUCCAUAGGAUCCUCUGCACCUGUCAGAAAAAUGAUGAGGGAAGUCAGAAUGUGGAAUGUUCUAGAUAAGGCUUGAGAAGUGUUUUAUAGCACUUCUGCCUGUACUUCAUUGACUAAAAUGCCCCACUGAGUGAUACCGUGGGCUGGGGAAUGAAGCCCACCUGUGAGCUUAGGAGGAAAAUAAAAGUUGGCAAAUGUAACAUUGUCUGUGUGCCACAUUCUCAAAACACACUUUGAAAUAUUUGUCUCUAUGUCUUUGCUUACAUUAUUUUCUCAGCACGGACUGUCUUUAGCCUUGAUUUCCACUAACCAACUGAACGGGCCACUUUCAUCAGAGUCUUCUUAAUAAUGUAGUGACCCCAACAGCUACAGGGAAACCACAGCUCCUGUCCUAAAG
RNAcentral lists this long non-coding RNA (2300 nucleotides) under Callithrix jacchus (white-tufted-ear marmoset). RNAcentral's name for it is "lncRNA (ENSCJAG00000084772.1)". The record is from RNAcentral. Lineage: Eukaryota; Metazoa; Chordata; Mammalia; Primates; Cebidae.